CCCAAGACUCUGAUUCCACAGAGCAACCAACAAACACAUUCUUACAGAUCAGGGGUGGAUGAUGAUGAAACAGGACCUAGAUUAAUCUACAUGUCUGUCUGAGUUAGAAUGUGGAUACUGAAUAUUGACAACACAAAAUUGAUGAGGACAGAAGUUACUUGAAAAUAAAGCAGAAAACAGACACCACUGAAGGAUGGAAAGGCUGCAUGGCAAGGAACAGAAAGUCAACAUUAUGAUCAUUUUGAUGAAAAUUCUCUCUUAUUCUUCAGCAGACGAUUUCGUUUGUUCAGAAUUAUUAACUCCGAUUAUACUAACCUGUGGGCUGCAGUACAGACAGAACUGGGCUGUGCAUUUACACUACAAUACAAAACUUGUAUUUGCCUUUUACAUCCAGUGGAGGGCAGUUAAGUUACAUGAUACAGAAACAAACUAAAUUGCACUGUGAUAGGAAGCUCUCAAGAAGCUAUGCAAUGAUUGGAAUUAACAGUUCCUUUAACUGUGUGAAAGAACACUUAGACUACCUGAAGAAUUAAAAAAAACCCAAACUCUAGCAAUAUUUUUCUCCUUCUAAAACUUCUUUGUAGGAGUGGGAGAGUAGGAGUAGAUUUAAAACUUUCCUCCAUCAGUAGAGGAAAAGAGUCCUAUAUACAUACACACAAGUUUCAAGUGGUUUCUGUUUUAUAUGUUAAUCAGUCUUUCCCAGAAUCUGUGUAUUACCUUCAAAAAGGUCUUGGUGUUUCUAUUUCCCUUCUGCGAUGUAACCUCAGACGUCUUUUUUUAACUGUAGUUGUUUUUCAUGCAGAGAAUGUUUUAAAGAAAAAUGACACUUUUUUUUUCACUAGAUCAGAGAUUCCAGGGAAAAAAAUAGGAUUAUUUUCAAUGAUUGGGGAGGGAAGUUCUCAGUGUAGAGUUAGUAAUUGUUGACCUAUUAUUUUUUAAGUUCCUGUAAAAGAAACACUUAGAGAAAACGUUCCAACCAGAAAUAGAAAGCUAAUCAUUGCCCUUUUAAAUCUGGUCUCUCUUUUUUUUUUCUUUGGCUGAUAACACUUACCGUUGGGUCAUUAAAGUCCAGCAAAAUUUGAACUGAAAGCACAACUUUUCUGGGUCUGGUCCUGCGUUACACACAAUUACUGGACGUUUGGGGUUCCCAAGAAAUGCAUGAUCUAGCCCUCUCUGGCAUUUCAUUAUCCAGAACAACACUCUAGAGCAUGUCCUCAUUGUAAACGAAUCAUUUACAUUUCAUUCACUGUAAAGAAGGAUAAUAGGUGGGGUUAAAAGAAGGAUUUAAAAGCACUGUAAUCAUAACUGAAUAUGAAUAAUCUUGGGGUCAGAAUUAAAAUGUUUUCA
Long non-coding RNA from Mauremys mutica (yellowpond turtle), 1347 nucleotides. RefSeq lists it as uncharacterized. The transcript is spliced from 3 exons. Lineage: Eukaryota; Metazoa; Chordata; Testudines; Geoemydidae. The record is from RefSeq and is a predicted model, not a curated record.